GGAGUUCCUUCAUCACAAAUUCUCUUCCGAUAAUAAACUAAGAAUGUUCUAACUUCUAAGAGUGUUAUGAACAGGCAUUGACAACUGACAAGUAGGCCCAGGAAAAUUUUCUAGCCCAGCAGGGCCCAUAUGUUCUCAAACAUGUGUCUUAUUCUUUGGAAUGAAAAGUCUGAUCCUUGUAGCAAGCAAAGCUGUAUUCCUCUCCUAUGAGGUUCUAUUUUCCAUUAUUAUUUUUUGUCAAAGAAGAUGAUGUUCUACUUACAUUCUCAAAGGUAUAUUAUCUGAAGAAAGGGGAGGAAUUAGGAAGACUGACAUGCUUUUCUUAAUGAAAGAGCAAGCUUCAGGGAGUAUUAAUAGGGCCCAAAGAAGCUGCCCUAAGAGCUAAGACUGAACUACAAAUGACAGUUUCAGCAAACAUUAAGCACUUGCAUUUUCAGACUACCGCAGACUUCCUUGUCCCUUCACCAAGAGUUCAAAAGCACCAAACCAGAUUCUACAAGUAAAGUGGAUAGAAGCAAUCUACCAUUGAUCUCAAGUAUCAGGUAGACUGGAAAUCUGGUACUUCUGUUUGAAUAUAGCCAUCAAGCUUCACAAGUUCACAGCAACAUUAAGCGAGAAAUAACGUAGUUUUUCUCAAGAAAUGACUGUGCUAUCUGUCUUGGCUUCAUCAAUACUGUCAAAGGUCACCACGUUUGCUGUUGAAUAUGCUCUCGACGACAUUAAAUUUGCUUGGAAUGUUAAGAGUGAGCUGGAAAAGUUGAAAAACUCAUUGGGAGCUAUUUGUGCUGUUCUGAAAGAUGCAGAAAGAAAGCAAUCUACACACAGUUCACUUAAGCAUUGGCUUGAAAAUCUCAAAGAUGUUGUCUAUGACAUAGAUGAU
Molecule: non-coding RNA, 880 nt
Organism: Oryza sativa Japonica Group (Japanese rice)
Lineage: Eukaryota; Viridiplantae; Streptophyta; Magnoliopsida; Poales; Poaceae
Source: RefSeq, a predicted model, not a curated record